ACCACCGUGGGUCCUCCAAGUAGCUGUGGGUGACAGGGACCACCACGUCACCUCCUCAUCACCACCUCCAUGUGUCGGAACCAUAACUCACGUACGAGUGACAGGGACCACCGUGUCACCACCUCAAUGUCAUCUCCAUCUGUUGGGACCACAGUGUGACCACCACAACCAUGUGUGGGUGACAGGGACCACCGUGUCACCUCAUCAAUGUCAUCUCUAUCUGCUGGGACCACCAUGUAACCUCCUGAUGACCAUCUAUGUUAGGACCACAGUGUGGCUCCCACAACCGGUGACGGGGACCACGGUGUCACCUCCUCAGUGUCAUCUCUGUGUGUUGGGACCACAGUGGGACCUCCACAACCAUUUGUGGGUGACAGAGACCACCAUGUCACCUCCUGAUCGCCACCUCCGUGUGUUGGGACCACAGUGUGACCACCACGACCAUGUGUGGGUGACGGGGACCACCGUGUCACCUCGUCAAUGCCAUCUCUAUCUGCUGGGACCACCGUGUCACCUCCUGGAUGCCAUCUCCAUCUGUUGGGACCACCGUGGGUCCUCCAAGUAGCUGUGGGUGACAGGGACCACCACGUCACCUCCUCAUCACCACCUCCAUGUGUUGGAACCAUAACUCAUGUACAAGUGACAGGGACCACCGUGUCACCACCUCAAUGUCAUCUCCGUGUGUUGGGACAACCGUGUGACCACCACAACCAUGUGUGGGUGACAAGGACCACUGUGUCACCUCGUGGAUGCCAUCUCUAUCUGCUGGGACCACCGUGUCACCUCCUGAUGACCAUCUCUGUUGGGACCACAGUGUGGCUCCCACAACCGGUGACGGGGACCACGGUGUCACCUCCUCAAUGUCAUCUCCAUGUGCUGGGACCACAGUGGGACCUCCACAGCCACCUAUGGGUGACAAACACCGUGUCACCUCCUGAUGACCACCUCCAUGUGUUGGGGACCACCGUGGGAGCACUACAACUCACCUGCAGGUGACAAGAGACUGCCGUGUCAUCUCCUCAAUGUCAUCUCCAUGUGUUGGGACCACAGUGGGUCCUCCAAGUACCUGUGGGUGACAGGGACCACUAUGUCACCUCCUGAUCGCCUCCUCCUUGCAUUGGGACCACAGUGUGACCACCACAACCAUGUGUGGGUGACUGGGACCCCUGUGUCACCUCCUGGAUGCCAUCUCCAUCUGUUGGGACCACUGUGUGACCUCCACCACUGCCUACAGGUGCCAGGGAGCACCACAUCACCUCCUGAUGACCAUCUGUGUGUGUUGGGACCACAGUGGGUCCUCCAAGUACCUGUGGGUGACAGGGACCCCCUUGUCACCUCCUGAUCACCACCUCCAUGUGUUGGGACCACAGUGUGACCACCACGACCAUGUGUGGGUGACGGGGACCACCGUGCCCCCUCCUGGAUGCCAUCUCCGUGUGUUGGGACCACCGUGGGACCUCCACAGCCACCUACGGGUGACAAAAAAACACCGUGUCACCUCCUGAUCGCCAUCUCCGUGUGUUGGGGACCGCACUGGGACCUCCACAACCAUUUGUGGGUGACGGGGACCACCGUGUCACCUC
Molecule: long non-coding RNA, 1583 nt
Organism: Numida meleagris (helmeted guineafowl)
Lineage: Eukaryota; Metazoa; Chordata; Aves; Galliformes; Numididae
Source: Ensembl